This 1089-nucleotide long non-coding RNA is filed under the name Struthio camelus australis. RNAcentral describes it as "lncRNA (ENSSCUG00000017906.1)". Lineage: Eukaryota; Metazoa; Chordata; Aves; Struthioniformes; Struthionidae. The record is from RNAcentral.
CUGGUGUGGAUCAUGAUUCGGCUUUUGAUUUAAUAACUUUCUAUUCCUUUAAAGGCAGAUCGAUUCUAGCAACUCUGCAGAGUAUCAGCUGAAAUCAUAACUGUAAGUGUUUGUUAUGAAGGAAGUGCUAGGAGCCUUAUUUCUGUCUGAGGAUUCCCUGAAAGAAAUACGUGGGCAGAUGCAACAAAAUGCAGACCCAUGAGAGCAAUUGCGUAGUGGAGAGCGCAGAGCUGCUCUCCUCUUGCACGUGCUUUAUGCUGCUGGACAUCUAGAAAUCCUGGGCAAGUGGAGAAAAGAGCAAUAAGUUAGUUGAUGAGGCAUAAAAGUGCAGAGAAAAAGAGACAGUAGCUCCAUCCUGCUCUCUGUAACUGACUAAGACAAAGGGGAGGAGAUACAGCCCAAAAUGUGCUUCCCCACAGACACAUGUUUGCCUCAUCCUGGAUGUGAAGAUCCCUCCGUAGUUCCACCCAGUGGUUAUCAUCUGCCUGAAAUCUUUAGGUAUUCCCAGGACACCUAAGAUGUAAUGAUGAACCUGGAAGUACAGUGGAAGGAAGAGAAGGUGAUGCUACUUCCAUAGUUGGCUUUUCAGGAUAAGUUGUCUCAAAGGAACCAUCCCGCUUCUUGAGAGGCUGAAAACUUCAAAGAUGAUGGCACAGACAUGGACCUGUCAUGUCAUAAGUUCAACACUCAGAAUCUUUAGCCGUGGCUGAAAAUCAGGGCCCCGAACUCUUUUUGUUUUGAAAAAGAAAGCUGUGCAAAGGGAUUGAGGAUCCCAGCUUUUGCUGCUAUAUUACUUGCUGCUUUUUUUUUGUUUUUUGCGAUACUAGACCCCUCACCACUGUUCUGAAUCAAUUGCAUUUGCUUGAACUGGCAAAGCCUUUUUUGAACAAAGCUGUCAAACUUCUGCUUCUAAUUAUGGAAUUGUAAAUUUGGUGUCUAUCUGGGGCAUAUAUGCUCCACAAAGGGGUAUUCUCCAGGGUUUUGGCAUGUUAGCAUGGGAUCUGCGAUUGUUUUCAAACACGAGGCUAUUAUUUCUACUGCUUUCUUGCAGUACUGUAGCACUGCAUCACAGAUUUUGCCAAUGACAAG